Felis catus (domestic cat) is the source of this 5637-nucleotide long non-coding RNA. RefSeq lists it as uncharacterized. The record is from RefSeq and is a predicted model, not a curated record. NCBI's taxonomy places the organism in Eukaryota, Metazoa, Chordata, Mammalia, Carnivora, Felidae. The transcript is spliced from 2 exons.
CCUAUACGUGAAAGCAGAGGAUAUGGUUAGGAGCCACGUAAGAGCAUGCUCCCAAUGUAAGUGUUCAUAAAACAGUUCUGCUGAAAAGAAAGAGAAGGGGAGGGGGGCGCCUGGCUGGCUCAGCUGGUGAAGUGCUCAACUCUUGAUCUUGGGGUUAUGAGUUUGAGCCACACAUUGGGUGUACAGACUACUUAAUAAAAUCUUAAAAAAAAAAAAAAAGGCAGCUGAGUGAGUUUGGCACACCUACUGUGGUGGACAGGAGCUAUUCUACACGAGCUUAGAGCUACUCCACUAGGUAGGAGUGAACUCUGACCCACACCUGCACCAUGCCAGGGCCCAUACAUCUCUAACCACCACUGGCCCAGGAGCAGGAACAGACAUAAACCAGUAGGUGUUAGAAUCCUCUUAGUUUUCUUCACCAUUGCCUCUCUUUGUGUCCAUCUCUAACCCAAAAGCCUUAUAGGACUCUCUUCCCUUCCCCACCUCCCCUGCUCUAAUGUUUCUAGCUGGCAGGUUCCCUGUGAGCACAGACUAAUAGGGAUUCUGUGUUGCAGCAAGUGUGCAGGGAAGGAACAGUUACUGGGAUGUUAGGAGAAAACAAAAGUCUAGCCAUCACUGAUAAUAUCCACUGCUGUGCCCCUUGGAAGCUACCAAUUUAGUGUCAAAAGGGAGGAGAGUCAUUAGAGCAAUGCUGGUGAAUCAGAAACUCCCAAAGUCAACAGCAGCUUUGAUACCAAAGAGACACAAGAAGGCUUCCUUAGUCAUAGAUCAGACCCCAGACAGUACCUGCUAUUUCUCUUCGCUCUUGCCCUGGCAUAAAAGGCUUCAUAGGACUUUGGUUUCAAUUCGAGAGCCUUGGAAGCAAAUUCUUCUGCCAUGCCAAAGUCCUGGUGUCAACAUUUAAAUACAGGAGUCAAAAGAAGCACUGAGACAUGAGUACAGACAUCUUUUUAACAGAUUUCCUCUCAAGGUUAGCAGAGAACUGGGACGUAACUGAAUAGGUAAAGGGCAACAUAAGUUUUAUUUAUUUUGUUUUAAAGUUAAGGAGUUUAAAAUAAGUAAAGUUAGGAGAUAGUUAAUGCUUUUUCAUAUUUUAAGAGAAGAACCCAGUAGAGAAGUAAAAACGGACGACUCGGGACAGCGGGUAGAAGCAGCGCACCAGAAGGCGGGGAGCAUGCAACGCGCAGGCGCAGGGAGGGUCAGCUUCCAAGAGCGACGGAGACGCCCACUCACUGCAACCGCAAGGUGGGCCGCAUUCGCGGGCACAGAAGCAGGCGGUCAAUGGAUUCGGUGGUGAGAAGAUGAAAUGAACAACAAUAGCAACAAAAGGCAGGAGAAAGAAGUACUGAAGCACAUCUAUAGUUUCUGUUUACAAAUUAACUAUGAGUUAACUACUGAGAACUACAAAUUAACCGGUUACUGGCAUACGGAUUAUAACACAUCCUUGAACUUUACAGCACCCUUUUGAGUCUGGGAAGGGUGGCCCGUGACAGAAGUGCAUGUUGGCAAGGGGAGGAGCGGCAGCCGGCUCGCCUGUCACUGCUGAGGCCGAGGAAAGUGCCUUCCAAGUGCAUUCCCUCAGCACUCUAAGGACGCAGUGACGGCCAUCACGUGACGGCCACCUAAGGAGAAGCAGCCCCCCACACGCCAAGUUCACAGCACCGUGCAAACAAACCACACAGGAGGCUCCGUGACUCCGUCUGCAUAAGGGCUGGCCUUCACCGCUAGAAAACACUCUACUGCUAAAGGAACAGACUAAGGAAUCAAAAAAAGCACAGAAAUUGAUCCUUUCCCGGAUGCUUCAAGAUGAACAGCCUCCUGCAACUUGAAGACCCUGGUGAGGUUUCCGCGUCCCUCUCAUCCCGCAACAGAAACCAUCCGAGCACAUGGAAGGGUCCUGCAGAGGACACAGCGCCCUGACCAGCAUGAGCCCGCACAGCCUCACUGCCCGCAUGGACUUCUGCACCACGUGCUUCACGGGGAAGGCACAAACUGGUUUUCCAGGAAACAGUCUGUAAACUGCCUAAUUGAUAACCAUCAAUCUUAAUACAUCAGAUUAUCCUCUCUGUUCUAUAUUUUUGAAAACCAUUUCAGGAAUGAUCCUUCCUCGACAAAUACUUUAAUGCUAACUGUAACGAUAGAAAUCAGAUAAAGAAAUGAUGCCCUUCCCAAGGCAAGUACAGUCUUGUGGAGAAACCUAGAGCUUGCUGUAAAAUAAUCAUUUGUGAGAGGAACUAAAGUAUGGGCUUUAAAAACUGGAACAGCACCGCACAUCAUUUUCAAGGCUAAAGAAAUCAAUUUGCUCAGUCAGUUCCAUAGCACAGCAGGUGUGAAGUCUGCUGAAAAUGGCUUGAUAUUUCUAACAUAAUUGCCUACCAAAAUUCAUAUUAAAACCACUUCAAAGCCACAACAACAUAUACUCUGAACUCAAUUUCAAACGGAUUACAAGUCAGGAACCCCGCUGGGUCGUGCUUUUGCCUACAUAUUUGUUAUUAUUAAAAAAAGAAAAGGGAAAAACUAAAUGCAGUCCAUGCAGCAGCCUCCUGAUAAAAGGAUUAAAAUGGUCAUAAUGCAGUUUUUUGUUUUAUUUUCAGAACUUUUACUUCUGUCUAAUUACAGACCUGGAAAGAACAGUGAACUAGGUCUAUGGCCUAAGCAUCUAUCUAAGCCAGGGGUGGGCGCACUACAGCUUCUGGGCCAAAUCUCGCCUGCCACCCAUUUUCACAAAUGCACUUUGACUGGGACAUGGCCACACCCAUCUGUUCUGUAUCACCUGCGGCUGCUUUCAUGCCACAGCAGCAAAGCUGGGGGGCAGUGACAGAGACCAUAUGGCAAAGCCUAUUUCCUUGUCUGGCGUUUUACAGAAAGAGUCUGCUGACCUCGGAUCUAAACUAAUAGCUUAUUUUGGAAAUUUUACUUCAAAUUUUAUUUAAAAUGUUUACUUUUAUUAAUCUUUACAUUUCCAUUUCUAAGGGAAAAUGGGGAAAAAAUUAUCUCCCCAGUAACUGAGUAUUAUAUAUUCCUUGACUAUCUUAAGUAAAAAUAUCUCUAGAAACUGUUUCAAAUUGCAGAAGCUUACAACUAUUAAAAAUAAGAUAAUAAAGUCUUAGGAGACUUAAUGAUUCUUUUCUUCAGAAAAUGUCUCCUGAGUGGCCCUUUCCUGAAUUAAGGAAUGUCCUGCUUGAGGCUACUCUACCUUCACACCAAGGCUUCAGGCCAUACGUCACAGUCAUAGCUGUGAGGAUGCAUUCAGAAAUAACAGUUCUCAACGACAGAAUAGUGCCUUCCACCUUGAAGGCUCUGCUGUGGAGACAUGAAAGCCUGGGCACGAGGCCAGGUGUGCAUCUCCCAGAGCGUCCACGGAAGCCUGGCUACAGGUGUGGUGGGCAGGAGCAUGGUCCCGCCCGGUCCACACCAAACUAAGAGGUUGCUCGUAGGCUGUCACAUCCCAGAAAAGGGCGAUACCACUUACUUUGUACAUCACGUUUCCUUCCUCCAUCAAUUUCUGUAAAAGUAUAAUCAAAAUAUCAGGUUUGGAAGUAGCCAUCGCCCAGGCAGCAUUUCCUGCAAAACAAACAUGCAUUCAGAGGCACGUCAGUGCUCCGGGAGGGAAGGAGUUUACUGCUGCUGGGGCCAGAUGGCAGCCCAGGUCACAGACAGCAGCAUACUGUGUCCUGCAGCCUCCAGAUAACAGUACAAGUAAGGACAGGGAGCAGGACCCCCAGGAGUUGGUCUCCCUUCCAAUCUGCCUCACGCUGAAUGAGGCUCCUGGGAGGAGGCUGUACCCCGUGCACCUGUUACUCUGAUGAAAAGAGUGCUGGGAAACCAAGGCGUCAGAGCAGCCAGGCCCAUCCCUCCCUUCUGCUGGGAUUUUUGGGGAAAAUCAAACAUGGCUUCUGAAUAAUCUCCUUAGCUUCCUGCAGGGCCCAUGUCUGCUGGUGAGUGAAGGCACGUGUUCUUAGCAGCCUCUCACUCUCUGCUGCAGUCUAUACUGCAUCUGCCCAGACAGGUUGGCUCUGGCUAGUCCGCCCUCUUGUCACAGCUCAUGUUUCUCUAGCCGCCAGCCCCACUUCUGAGCACGUGCAGGGAAUAAUGCUUAAGAGAGGACAGUCUCAGAGUCAGACUACUCUGCUCCACUGACUCUGCUGAUUACCAUGACCUUAGGGAAGCUAUUUACCUCCACUGUGCCUUGGUUUACUCCUCUGCAACAUGAUGGUGUUAUCUCUACCUACUUAGAGGGUAGGUGAGGAUUAACUAUGAUAAAACAUGAAACUGCUCAGAAUAAUUCCUGGUACUGUGAACUGCUUAGUAAGAUCAGAUCUGUUCAUCUUUGCCACAGUCCCCUCCUGGGGGCUGCCGCUGGCCGAAGGUCUGGCGUAUUAAACUAUGAGAGCCAUGUUCUUGUUGCUCUUUACCCACACAUUGUGGAGUGGGGGCUCCACGCUCCGACCAAGCACAGAGAACGAGGCUCUUCCUACUCUGAGUCCCCUCUGCCCUGUCAUUAUCCUUCAGUGACACCCCUCCCCCAUCUAGUUUCCAGUAAAAUCCCAUGAACUUUCCUUCACAGAAACUGCUGGAGUUGUGGCUACCCUACCCGACUAGGACUACUCCAGAACAGUGGUUCGCCAAUUCAGCUGCUCAGCAGAGCCACCUGUGAGCUUUCUUAACCACAUAACCAGCCUCCCCCAAAGAGCUGAAUGGAGCUGCUCACUGCCGUGGCUCCCGGGCAUCCCUAACACCCUACAAUUCUAGACUGGUCUUCAACAUUGGCCACUGCUUUCUACCCACACUGCAGUGAUAAUGUCAUGAGUUAUUUAAGCAUUCUGAAUGACUGUGUUUAAAUGAGCCUUGUAGAGGACAGAAAAGAAAUCUCUAGGCACCUGACAUCUUCUUAACCUGGGAUCAGGUAAGUCUUUAUGGCCCCGGACAUACUCUAGAAUUUGAAGUGAACCUCCCUCUCCCGCUGCUGAGAUGAGGUGUUCACUGACCUAAUUUGGCUCCUUUUCUCAGCAGUGUAACCACUACAGAUGUAUUUCGACAACCAAUGGCUCUAUCCAAGGGGCGCAUGCCGCUGUGGUCCACGUGCUCAAUCACGGCUCCCUUCUCAACCAGAUACAGUACCUGCAGGGAGAGACAGAGCCCUGAGGGGUGGCUGGUGGCAGAGGCGUCACACCCCACCCACCUCUGCAUCCUGGGGUGGAACUGGCAGUCUUAGCUUUACUGUGAUCUUCAACGCUUCUGGCCAUGAAGGGUCCUGAUGGAAAUGAAGCCAACGGGUAACCGAAAAGAGGGUUAUAAUCCAUAGCUAAAGUCCACUCUGCCAUCAGCAAUGAGGGAGGCGGGUGAACACUCCUAGGGAGGGACAUGUUAUGUACAUGCAUUCAUAUACCACAGAGGAGUAUAUGCAUAUCAACUUCCCAGACCACAGGGAUGGCCACAGUCAUCUUUUCACCUCCAAUUACUUAGGAGGCAGACGUCUACAACAGCUCCUACAUACUGGCAGUCUACAGCAAUGGGACCUCUGGAAACACUCAGACCCACACAGCCUGGGUAUAGCAAGCUAGAAAAACUAGCAGCUUGAGAUUAGAAAAAAAAAACAAUUAUUACGCACUUUAAGGCUUAGGAAAGAGACUCAAA